RNAcentral lists this ribosomal RNA (327 nucleotides) under Triticum aestivum (bread wheat). RNAcentral's name for it is "partial small subunit ribosomal RNA". Lineage: Eukaryota; Viridiplantae; Streptophyta; Magnoliopsida; Poales; Poaceae. The record is from RNAcentral.
AUGACGUUUUUCCAGUUCAAAUUGAACUACAAAAACGUCGUAUAUUUUGGUACAGAGGUAGUAGAUUAUAAGGGUGUGAAUAUUAGAACUAUCAAAAGCAUGUCAUGUUGUAAUUUUCUGAAAGGCAUGCACUUUUAUCAGUUUAUGGUUCCUGUGGGCACAAAAGGUUGUCGUAAUUCAGGAAUAAAGAACACAUACAAAAAAAUACAUGUACUGCCCUACAACAUUUGUAAACGUGGCACAUACCUUGAUUCAUGCCUGAAAACUCUACCCUUAGAAAACAAGAUUUCAGAAGCCAGGCAAGAAACCAUGUGUCAAGAAGACUAG